This 524-nucleotide ribosomal RNA is filed under the name uncultured bacterium. RNAcentral describes it as "partial 16S ribosomal RNA". It matches the Rfam family "Bacterial small subunit ribosomal RNA", at positions 28 to 523 of the family's 1533-position model. The record is from RNAcentral.
GACGAACGCUGGCGGCGUGCUUAACACAUGCAAGUCGAACGAGACGAUUGAAAGCUUGCUUUCGAAAGUCGAGUGGCAAACGGGUGAGUAACGCGUAGACAACCUGCCUUUGAGAUGGGGACAACAGUUCGAAAGGACUGCUAAUACCGAAUGUUGUAUAUUUUCCACAUGGAAGAUAUAUUAAAGAUGGCCUCUAUUUAUAAGCUAUCGCUCAAAGAUGGGUCUGCGUCUGAUUAGCUGGUUGGUGGGGUAACGGCCUACCAAGGCGACGAUCAGUAGCCGGUCUGAGAGGAUGAACGGCCACAUUGGGACUGAGACACGGCCCAGACGCCUACGGGAGGGAGCAGUGGGGAAUCUUCCACAAUGGACGAAAGUCGGAUGGAGCAACGCCGCGGGAGUGAAGAAGGGUUUCGGCUCGUAAAGCUCUGUUGUCGGGGACGAAUGUGCAGUAUUUGAAUAAAGUACUGCAAUGACGGUACCUGACGAGGAAGCCACGGCUAACUACGUGCCAGCCGCCGCAGUAA